AGCAGCCGUGGUAAUUCCAGCUCCAAUAGCGUAUAUUAAAGUUGUUGCAGUUAAAAAGCUCGUAGUUGAAUUUCGAGAUCAAAUUGUUGGUCGUGCCUUGGUACGCACUGGCAUUAUUGGUUUCUCCCUUCUGAAGAACCAAGAUGUCAUUAAUUUGGUGUCUUGGGGAAUCAGGACUGUUACUUUGAAAAAAUUAGAGUGUUUAAAGCAGGCUCGCGCUUGAAUACAUUAGCAUGGAAUAAUGAAAUAGGACGUUUGAUUCUAUUUUGUUGGUUUCUAGGAUCGACGUAAUGAUUAAUAGGGAUAGUUGGGGGCAUUAGUAUUCAAUUGUCAGAGGUGAAAUUCUUGGAUUUAUUGAAGACUAACUACUGCGAAAGCAUUUGCCAAGGAUGUUUUCAUUAAUCAAGACGAAAGUUAGGGGAUCGAAGACGAUCAGAUACCGUCGUAGUCUUAACCAUAAACUAUGCCGACUAGGGAUCGGAUGAUGUUAAUUUUUUAAUGACUCAUUCGGC
Molecule: ribosomal RNA, 512 nt
Filed under: uncultured Glomus
Lineage: Eukaryota; Fungi; Glomeromycota; Glomeromycetes; Glomerales; Glomeraceae
Description: SSU rRNA
Rfam family: Eukaryotic small subunit ribosomal RNA
Source: RNAcentral